Molecule: ribosomal RNA, 423 nt
Filed under: Triticum aestivum (bread wheat)
Lineage: Eukaryota; Viridiplantae; Streptophyta; Magnoliopsida; Poales; Poaceae
Description: partial small subunit ribosomal RNA
Source: RNAcentral
AUGCCCUCUGAUUUUGAGAAUAACGUUAAAGAAUUUAUGAUCUCUCAAAAGAAUUUUAAUGCUUUGCUUGAAGAAAAAUUGCUUAAAGUUGAUGAUUUGGCUAGGAACGUUGAUAGGCUUUCACUUGAUGUUGAUUCUUUGAAACUUAGAUCUACUCCACCUAAGCAUGAUAUCAAUGAGUCUCUCAAAGCUAUGAGAAUUUCCAUUGAUGAGUGCAAAGAAAGAACCGCUAGAUUGCAUGCUAAGAAAGAUUGCUUUGUAAAAGCGUGUUCUUCUAGUUUCCAUGAAAAUAAUGAUGAAGAUCUAAAAGUUAUUGAUGUGUCUCCCAUUAAAUCCUUGUUUUGCAAUAUAAAUCUUGAUAAUUAUGGGACUGGAGAUGAGUCAAAUUUAGUUAAAAGGUGUCCAAUAAUUCGGAGUUCUUAG